Molecule: ribosomal RNA, 497 nt
Filed under: uncultured bacterium
Lineage: Bacteria
Description: partial 16S ribosomal RNA
Rfam family: Bacterial small subunit ribosomal RNA
Source: RNAcentral
GAUGAACGCUGGCGGCGUGCCUAAUACAUGCAAGUCGAGCGAACGGACGAGAAGCUUGCUUUUCUGAUGUUAGCGGCGGACGGGUGAGUAACACGUGGAUAACCUACCUAUAAGACUGGGAUAACUUCGGGAAACCGGAGCUAAUACCGGAUAAUAUUUUGAACCGCAUGGUUCAACAGUGAAAGACGGUCUUGCUGUCACUUAUCGAUGGAUCCGCGCUGCAUUAGCUAGUUGGUAAGGUAACGGCUUACCAAGGCAACGAUGCAUAGCCGACCUGAGAGGGUGAUCGGCCACACUGGAACUGAGACACGGUCCAGACUCCUACGGGAGGCAGCAGUAGGGAAUCUUCCGCAAUGGGCGAAAGCCUGACGGAGCAACGCCGCGUGAGUGAUGAAGGUCUUCGGAUCGUAAAACUCUGUUAUUAGGGAAGAACAAAUGUGUAAGUAACUGUGCACAUCUUGACGGUACCUAAUCAGAAAGCCACGGCUAACUACGUG